Molecule: ribosomal RNA, 468 nt
Filed under: uncultured bacterium
Lineage: Bacteria
Description: partial 16S ribosomal RNA
Rfam family: Bacterial small subunit ribosomal RNA
Source: RNAcentral
GACGAACGCUGGCGGCGUGCUUAACACAUGCAAGUCGAACGGAAAGGCCCUGCUUUUGUGGGGUGCUCGAGUGGCGAACGGGUGAGUAACACGUGAGUAACCUGCCCUUGACUUUGGGAUAACUUCAGGAAACUGGGGCUAAUACCGGAUAGGAGCUCCUGCUGCAUGGUGGGGGUUGGAAAGUUUCGGCGGUUGGGGAUGGACUCGCGGCUUAUCAGCUUGUUGGUGGGGUAGUGGCUUACCAAGGCUUUGACGGGUAGCCGGCCUGAGAGGGUGACCGGCCACAUUGGGACUGAGAUACGGCCAAGACUCCUACGGGAGGCAGCAGUGGGGAAUAUUGCACAAUGGGCGGAAGCCUGAUGAAGCAACGCCGAGUGCGGGAUGACGGACUUCGGGUUGUAAACCGCUUUAGCCUGUGACGAAGCGUGAGUGACGGUAAUGGGUAAAGAAGCACCGGCUAACUACGUG